GAUGAACGCUGGCGGCGUGCCUAAUACAUGCGAGUCGAGCGAACAGACGAGGAGCUUGCUCCUCUGACGUUAGCGGCGGACGGGUGAGUAACACGUGGAUAACCUACCUAUAAGACUGGGAUAACUUCGGGAAACCGGAGCUAAUACCGGAUAAUAUAUUGAACCGCAUGGUUCAAUAGUGAAAGAAGGUUUUGCUGUCACUUAUAGAUGGAUCCGCGCCGCAUUAGCUAGUUGGUAAGGUAACGGCUUACCAAGGCGACGAUGCGUAGCCGACCUGAGAGGGUGAUCGGCCACACUGGAACUGAGACACGGUCCAGACUCCUACGGGAGGCAGCAGUAGGGAAUCUUCCGCAAUGGGCGAAAGCCUGACGGAGCAACGCCGCGUGAGUGAUGAAGGUCUUCGGAUCGUAAAACUCUGUUAUUAGGGAAGAACAAAUGUGUAAGUAACUAUGCACGUCUUGACGGUACCUAAUCAGAAAGCCACGGCUAACUACGUG
RNAcentral lists this ribosomal RNA (497 nucleotides) under uncultured bacterium. Its description in RNAcentral is "partial 16S ribosomal RNA". It matches the Rfam family "Bacterial small subunit ribosomal RNA", at positions 28 to 507 of the family's 1533-position model. The record is from RNAcentral.